This 1533-nucleotide long non-coding RNA is filed under the name Gouania willdenowi (blunt-snouted clingfish). RNAcentral's name for it is "lncRNA (ENSGWIG00000012104.1)". The record is from RNAcentral. Lineage: Eukaryota; Metazoa; Chordata; Actinopteri; Blenniiformes; Gobiesocidae.
AAGGAGGUAGGACUUAAGGGAGCCGGGCCUCUACCACGGCUCAGGAGAGCUGGAGAAUUGUUUUUUUUUUCAAUUUCAAUUGAAAAAUGUGUUUGAAUAAAUGAAACCAUAACAUAUUAUUCUGAAAGAAGACAAAAAAGAACUUGCUGGAUUUAUUAUGCGGAAGUUAUGGAUACAUCAAAGCGAUCAGCAGAUGCCUCUGAAGAACACUGGCAGUUGACAGUCGAAACAUGUCUGGAGAUCAAAGUAAAUUUCCUGAAAAACAGUUGUCUGAAUAAAUGAAACCUUAACAUAUUAUUCAGAAAGAAGACAUAAAAUCUGAACUUUAUAUGUAAAUUAUAUAAACUCUAUAUUCUGCUACAGAUUGCAGUAGUGUUGUUGAACUUUAUACCUUCAGUGAAUGCUUUUAAAAAGUUAACAUAUACAUUAUGCAUGCCUAUACAUUUCUGUAUGUGUGUGUCCAUUGUCCUAUGGCUCACCUUGUGCCUGCGGAAUUAUUCACAAGGUAGUUACGCUCAGUUAUGUGUCCAUUAAGAACCAUCUGCAGCCUGCGGGGGUCUGAGAACAAAGGGAGGAUGAGGCUGGAAGAGGAGGAUAUAAAGGCGGCCAAUAAAGUAGUGGAGUUUAAGAUUACCUGCGGAUGUGAGCUCCCCCUCUGGCCCGCCUCUGCAGGCGGGUUGCCCUGGCAACAGAUGAGUCAAGACAACAGUAAAAGUUAAAGUGCGCCUGAUAAAACACAAAGAAAAAGAAGAAAAAUGUGUCUUUGAAGAGUUGCAGUAGAACUAAACCCGGGGGAGCCUGCAGCACUUCCUCCUGAUGGCAGGAUCCAUGAUGCUUGUCAAAAGGCUGUGACGUCACACAGUUAAAGGUGGAGCGCUACAGCUGCUGCUGCAGCUCCAUCACACACCGCAUCCACACUCGCUCCGAGCAGGGGGGACUCCUCGGUCCCUGGUCCCUAUCCGAACCCCCUCCUCCACCACCACCAUGUCCUCCGCUGUCACCGAGACGGACGAGUCCUCCCGCGGCUCCCCGCUGACUCCUCUGAAGCUGGUCGGCCUGGUGUGCGUCUUCCUGGCGCUGUGCCUGGACGUGGGAGCCGUGAUGAGUCCGGCGUGGGUGACCGCGGACGACCAGUACUACCUGUCCCUGUGGGAGUCCUGCUGGAAGCCCGUUAGCACCAAUGGAUGGCAGUGCCGCAGCACGCUGGGCUCAGACUGGCAAGUUGCCACGCUGGCCCUGUUGCUAGGGGGCGGAGCUUUGGUGCUGAUGUCAUUCCUGGUCGCUCUGGUUGGCGUGUGCAUCGGCACAAGACGGCAGUUCUACGCGCCCGUCGCCCUCAUGCUUUUCGCUGCAGUCGUCCUCCAGGCCUGCAGUUUGGUCCUCUAUCCAAUCAAGUUCAUCGAGAGCAUCAACCUGAGGAUCUACCACGAGUUCAACUGGGGCUAUGGCCUAGCCUGGGGCAGCACCAUCUUCUCCUUUGGAGGAGGAAUCCUCUACUGCCUCAAUCCCAAGAACUACGAGGAGUACUACUAA